CCGUAGGUGAACCUGCGGAAGGAUCAUUGUCGAAACCUGCCCAGCAGAACGACCCGCGAACACGUGGGGGGUGCUGCCUCCCCCCCGGCACAAAAACGAACCCCGGCGCGAAGAGCGCCAAGGAACAUAAACUCACAGCGUGAGCCAUGUGCCCGGUUAGCCGGUGCACGGGUGCGGUGCCAUGCACAACAAUAAACGACUCUCGGCAACGGAUAUCUCGGCUCUCGCAUCGAUGAAGAACGUAGCGAAAUGCGAUACUUGGUGUGAAUUGCAGAAUCCCGUGAACCAUCGAGUCUUUGAACGCAAGUUGCGCCCGAAGCUUUUGGCUGAGGGCACGUCUGCCUGGGCGUCACGCAUCGCGUCUCCCCCACACCCACCUCGAGUGGAGGGGAAGGAAGAUGGCCUCCCGAGCCUCACCGGGCACGGCUGGCCUAAAUCGGGAGCCCUCGGCGUCGAGCUGCCGCGGCGAUUGGUGGUCGUCGCGCAGCGCGGCCCCCUUGGAGCUCGCAGGACCCUCGAUGUUGCCUUGUGGCGACCCUAACCGUUGCGACCCCAGGUCAGGCGGGGCUACCCGCU
RNAcentral lists this ribosomal RNA (576 nucleotides) under Pycnophyllum bryoides. RNAcentral's name for it is "eukaryotic LSU rRNA". The stretch from base 198 to 352 matches the Rfam family "5.8S ribosomal RNA". Lineage: Eukaryota; Viridiplantae; Streptophyta; Magnoliopsida; Caryophyllales; Caryophyllaceae. The record is from RNAcentral.